UCCAAUAUUCGGUGGGUCCUCAGUUUGUUUCAAUCUUUUACUUCCACUAGUUCUUUAAGGGAGACAGUUCUUUCCUUUGCAGUUUGUUUAAAUUUGGAGA
Chiloscyllium plagiosum (whitespotted bambooshark) is the source of this 100-nucleotide non-coding RNA. NCBI's taxonomy places the organism in Eukaryota, Metazoa, Chordata, Chondrichthyes, Orectolobiformes, Hemiscylliidae. The record is from RefSeq and is a predicted model, not a curated record.